This is a long non-coding RNA of Cottoperca gobio, 457 nucleotides long. RefSeq lists it as uncharacterized. The record is from RefSeq and is a predicted model, not a curated record. The transcript is spliced from 4 exons. Lineage: Eukaryota; Metazoa; Chordata; Actinopteri; Perciformes; Bovichtidae.
GCAUGACCCAUCACUAACGGACACACCCCUCUAAGAUGUCACGGCAUAUUAUUUGAGGAUAAAAGGCAUAUUCUUCAUCAGUAGAUUAACACAUUCUCCCUCUUUCUGCAGCCAAGCAAGAACAGACAAACAAUACUCCUUUUUCACAACAGGAUGAGAGAUCUUGGAGAACAUUUGAAGAUUUUCAGUUGAUAUUGGAAACUAGAAGAAAAUGAGACUGUGUGGGCUGAAACACACAAGAAGCCUGAUUCCCUACAUGUUUACAGACAGAGAUCCACUCAUCAACAUCGGAGAAGGAAGCGUGGUGAUUGGAUUAAGUACAGCGGACGUUGACGCGGUCACCGCCCACGGCUUCUUCCGACCAGCCAGCCAGAAAGUCAGACCUGUCGGUCCAAACACCACUGAGAGUGACCGAAUCUUUGGGGUAGAACCCACAUGGUUGAAUGCACUUAUUGUA